Molecule: ribosomal RNA, 468 nt
Filed under: uncultured bacterium
Lineage: Bacteria
Description: partial 16S ribosomal RNA
Rfam family: Bacterial small subunit ribosomal RNA
Source: RNAcentral
GACGAACGCUGGCGGCGUGCUUAAUACAUGCAAGUCGAACGGAAAGGCCCUGCUCUUGUGGCGUGCUCGAGUGGCGAACGGGUGAGUAACACGUGAGUAACCUGCCCCUGACAUUGGGAUAACAUCAGGAAACUGGGGCUAAUAUCGGAUAUGAGCUCUUGCUGCAUGGUGGGGGAUGGAAAGAUUCGGCGGUUGGGGAUGGACUGGCGGGUUACCGGCUUGUUGGUGGGGUAGUUGCUGUCCAAGCGUACGACGGGUAGCCUGCCUGGGAGGGGAGCCGGGGUCAAUGGGACUAAGAGAGGGCCCAGACGCCUACGGGAGGCAGCGGGGGGGAGUAUUGCAGAAUAGGCGGGAGCCAGAGACAGCGACGCCGCGAGCGGGAAGACCGCCUUCGGGUUAUGAACCGCUUUGGAAGGAGACGAGGCGGGAGUGACGGUAAUGAAUAAGAAAGCCCCGGCUAACUACGUG